This 445-nucleotide ribosomal RNA is filed under the name uncultured bacterium. Its description in RNAcentral is "bacterial SSU rRNA". It matches the Rfam family "Bacterial small subunit ribosomal RNA", at positions 791 to 1231 of the family's 1533-position model. The record is from RNAcentral.
UAGUCCACGCCGUAAACGAUGUCAACUAGCCGUUGGAGAUCUUGUAUCUUUAGUGGCGCAGCUAACGCGAUAAGUUGACCGCCUGGGGAGUACGGCCGCAAGGUUAAAACUCAAAUGAAUUGACGGGGGGCCCGCACAAGCGGUGGAGCAUGUGGUUUAAUUCGAUGCAACGCGAAGAACCUUACCAGGUCUUGACAUCCUGAUAACUUUCUAGAGAUAGAUUGGUGCCUUCGGGAAAUCAGUGACAGGUGCUGCAUGGCUGUCGUCAGCUCGUGUCGUGAGAUGUUGGGUUAAGUCCCGUAACGAGCGCAACCCUUGUCCUUAGUUGCCAGCACGUAAUGGUGGGAACUCUAAGGAGACUGCCGGUGACAAACCGGAGGAAGGUGGGGGACGACGUCAAGUCUUCAUGGCCCUUAUGGGGCUGGGGCUACACACGUGCUACAAU